Molecule: unclassified non-coding RNA, 297 nt
Filed under: uncultured Terriglobales bacterium
Lineage: Bacteria; Pseudomonadati; Acidobacteriota; Terriglobia; Terriglobales
Description: uncultured Acidobacteriales bacterium contains 16S-23S intergenic spacer region
Rfam family: Bacterial small subunit ribosomal RNA
Source: RNAcentral
UCCGAAUUGACGGGGGCCCGCACAAGCGGCGGAGCAUGUGGCUUAAUUCGAGGCAACGCGAAGAACCUUACCUGGGCUUGACAUGCAGGAGACCGGGGUAGAAAUAUCCUUUCCUCGCAAGAGGCUGCUGUAUAGGUGCUGCAUGGCUGUCGUCAGCUCGUGUCGUGAGAUGUUGGGUUAAGUCCCGCAACGAGCGCAACCCUCAUCCCUAGUUGCCACCGGGUAAUGCCGAGCACUCUAGUGAAACCGCCCCGGAUAACGGGGAGGAAGGUGGGGAUGACGUUCCGCAACUAACCA